AGUCAGUGCGCGGCCAGGUACGGGCCCGGGGUCCGCGGGGCCGGUGCCGCCAUGGCGGCCGUGUUUGAUUUGGAUUUGGAGACGGAGGAAGGCAGCGAGGGCGAGGGCGAGCCAGAGCUCAGCCCCGCGGACGUGUGUCCCGUUGCCGAGUCGAGGGCAGCUGGCCUAGAGCCUGUGGGACACUAUGAAGAGGUGGAGCUGACUGAGACCAGCGUGAACCUUGGCCCAGAGCGCAUCGGGCCCCACUGCUUUGAGCUGCUGCGUGUGCUGGGCAAGGGGGGCUAUGGCAAGGUGUUCCAGGUGCGAAAGGUGCAAGGCACCAACUUGGGCAAAAUAUAUGCCAUGAAAGUCCUAAGGAAGGUGGCGAGCUCUUCACGCAUCUGGAGCGAGAGGGCAUCUUCCUGGAAGACACGGCCUGGUGGGUGUUACUCCUCCGCUUUCCUGAGGCCGCCAGGUCCCUGCCCUACUCCCGCCUUCACCCUGUCUUGUUUCUGCAGCUUCUACCUGGCCGAGAUCACGCUGGCCCUGGGCCAUCUCCACUCCCAGGGCAUCAUCUACCGGGACCUCAAGCCCGAGAACAUCAUGCUCAGCAGCCAGGGCCACAUCAAACUGACCGACUUUGGACUCU
Molecule: small RNA, 628 nt
Filed under: Pongo abelii (Sumatran orangutan)
Lineage: Eukaryota; Metazoa; Chordata; Mammalia; Primates; Hominidae
Description: processed transcript
Source: RNAcentral